UCCGGUUUGUCACCGGCAGUCUCGCAUGAGUCCCCAACUGAAUGCUGGCAACAUGCGACGGGGGUUGCGCUCGUUGCGGGACUUAACCCAACAUCUCACGACACGAGCUGACGACAGCCAUGCAGCACCUGUGCAGGGACUCCGAAGAGGGGCGGGUGUUUCCACCCGCUUUCCCCUGCAUGUCAAGCCCAGGUAAGGUUCUUCGCGUUGCGUCGAAUUAAACCACAUGCUCCACCGCUUGUGCAGGCCCCCGUCAAUUCCUUUGAGUUUUAGCCUUGCGGCCGUACUCCCCAGGCGGGCACUUAAUGCGUUAGCUUCGGCACGGCAACCGUUG
This 334-nucleotide unclassified non-coding RNA is filed under the name uncultured bacterium. Its description in RNAcentral is "contains 16S-23S intergenic spacer region". The record is from RNAcentral.